Molecule: ribosomal RNA, 778 nt
Filed under: uncultured bacterium
Lineage: Bacteria
Description: bacterial SSU rRNA
Rfam family: Bacterial small subunit ribosomal RNA
Source: RNAcentral
AGAGUUUGAUCCUGGCUCAGAAUGAACGUUGGCGGCGUGGAUUAGGCAUGCAAGUCGAACGAGUCUCUGGGGGGUAACUCCUAGAGGAAAGUGGCGAAAGGGGCAGUAAUGUAUGGGUAACCUACCUUGAGGUCUGGGAUAGCCAUUCUAACGGAUGGGUAAUACUGGACGGCCUGAGUUGUCGGCAUCGAUGACUUAGUAAAGGUUACGCCUCGAGAGGGGCCCAUAUGAUAUUAGCUAGUUGGUGAGGUAAUGGCUCACCAAGGCAAAGAUGUCUAGCGGGUGUGAGAGCACGACCCGCGUCAUUGGCACUGAGACACUGGCCAAACUCCUACGGGAGGCUGCAGUCGAGGAUCUUCGGCAAUGGACGAAAGUCUGACCGAGCAACGCCGCGUGUGCGAUGAAGGCCUUCGGGUUGUAAAGCACUGUCGAGGGGAAACAAGCCGUAAGGUUGAGUGACCCCUGGAGGAAGCACGGGCUAAGUUCGUGCCAGCAGCCGCGGUAAGACGAACCGUGCAAACGUUAUUCGGAAUCACUGGGCUUAAAGGGCGCGUAGGCGGGUGAUCAAGUCAAUGGUGAAAUCCUCCAGCUUAACUGGAGAAGUGCCUUUGAUACUGAUUGUCUAGAGGGAGGUAGGGGCAUGUGGAACUUCAGGUGGAGCGGUGAAAUGCGUAGAUAUCUGAAGGAACGCCAGUGGCGAAAGCGAUGUGCUGGACCUCUUCUGACGCUGAGGCGCGAAAGCUAGGGGAUCAAACGGGAUUAGAUACCCUGGUAGUCC